This 483-nucleotide ribosomal RNA is filed under the name uncultured bacterium. RNAcentral's name for it is "bacterial SSU rRNA". It matches the Rfam family "Bacterial small subunit ribosomal RNA", at positions 29 to 487 of the family's 1533-position model. The record is from RNAcentral.
AACUAACGCUGGCGGCGUGCCUAACACAUGCAAGUCGUACGAGAAAGCCGGCUUCGGCUGGUGAGUAAAGUGGCGCACGGGUGAGUAACGCGUGGAUAAUCUGCCCUUAAGUGUGGAAUAACGUACCGAAAGGUGCGCUAAUACCGCAUAAUGCCUGGCAACACAAGUUGUCCGGCCAAAGAAGGCCUCUGUUUACAAGCUUUCGCUUCAGGAUGAGUCCGCGUACCAUUAGCUUGUUGGUGGGGUAAUGGCCUACCAAGGCUGCGAUGGUUAGCUGGUCUGAGAGGAUGAUCAGCCACACUGGAACUGAGACACGGUCCAGACUCCUACGGGAGGCAGCAGCGAGGAAUAUUGCGCAAUGGGGGCAACCCUGACGCAGCAACGCCGCGUGAGUGAGGAAGGUUUUCGGACUGUAAAGCUCUGUCGAGCGGGAAGAAGUGUACCAUGGCUAAUAUCCAUGAUAUUUGACGGUACCGCUAGAGG